RNAcentral lists this unclassified non-coding RNA (520 nucleotides) under uncultured Glomus. RNAcentral's name for it is "SSU rRNA". It matches the Rfam family "Eukaryotic small subunit ribosomal RNA", at positions 569 to 1093 of the family's 1831-position model. The record is from RNAcentral. Lineage: Eukaryota; Fungi; Glomeromycota; Glomeromycetes; Glomerales; Glomeraceae.
AGCAGCCGCGGUAAUUCCAGCUCCAAUAGCGUAUAUUAAAGUUGUUGCAGUUAAAAAGCUCGUAGUUGAAUUUCGGGGUUAGUAGGUUGGUCAUGCCUCUGGUAUGUACUGGUCUCACUGAUUCCUCCUUCCUGAUGAACCUUAAUGCCAUUAAUUUGGUGUUUUGGGGAAUUUGGACUGUUACUUUGAAAAAUUAGAGUGUUUAAAGCAAGCUAACGCUUGAAUACAUUAGCAUGGAAUAAUGAAAUAGGACGUUCGAUCCUAUUUUGUUGGUUUCUAGGAUUGACGUAAUGAUUAAUAGGGAUAGUUGGGGGCAUUAGUAUUCAAUUGUCAGAGGUGAAAUUCUUGGAUUUAUUGAAGACUAACUACUGCGAAAGCAUUUGCCAAGGAUGUUUUCAUUAAUCAAGAACGAAAGUUAGGGGAUCGAAGACGAUCAGAUACCGUCGUAGUCUUAACCAUAAACUAUGCCGACUAGGGAUCGGAUGAUGUUAAUUUUUAUGACUCAUUCGGCGCCUUACGG